GGGAUAACAGUUGGAAACGACUGCUAAUACCGGAUGUGCCGAGAGGUGAAAGAUUUAUUGCCNGGAGAUGAGCUCGCGUNUGAUUAGCUAGUUGGUGGUGUAAGGGACCACCAAGGCGUCGAUCAGUAGCUGGUCUGAGAGGAUGAUCAGCCACACUGGGACUGAGACACGGCCCAGACUCCUACGGGAGGCAGCAGUGGGGAAUUUUCCGCAAUGGGCGAAAGCCUGACGGAGCAAUACCGCGUGAGGGAGGAAGGCUCUUGGGUCGUAAACCUCUUUUCUCAAGGAAGAAGAAAGUGACGGUACUUGAGGAAUAAGCAUCGGCUAACUCCGUGCCAGCAGCCGCGGUAAUACGGAGGAUGCAAGCGUUAUCCGGAAUGAUUGGGCGUAAAGGGUCUGCAGGUGGAACUGAAAGUCUGCUGUUAAAGAGUUUGGCUUAACCAAAUAAAAGCGGUGGAAACUACAGAACUAGAGUGCGGUAGGGGCAAAAGGAAUUCCUGGUGUAGCGGUGAAAUGCGUAGAUAUCAGGAAGAACACCGGUGGCGAAAGCGUUUUGCUAGACCGUAACUGACACUGAGGGACGAAAGCUAGGGGAGCGAAUGGGAUUAGAUACCCCAGUAGUCCUAG
Molecule: ribosomal RNA, 627 nt
Filed under: Cylindrospermopsis raciborskii
Lineage: Bacteria; Bacillati; Cyanobacteriota; Cyanophyceae; Nostocales; Aphanizomenonaceae
Description: bacterial SSU rRNA
Rfam family: Bacterial small subunit ribosomal RNA
Source: RNAcentral